RNAcentral lists this ribosomal RNA (253 nucleotides) under uncultured bacterium. Its description in RNAcentral is "partial 16S ribosomal RNA". It matches the Rfam family "Bacterial small subunit ribosomal RNA", at positions 524 to 776 of the family's 1533-position model. The record is from RNAcentral.
UACGUAGGGUGCAAGCGUUGUCCGGAAUUAUUGGGCGUAAAGAGCUCGUAGGCGGUUUGUCGCGUCGGCUGUGAAAACCCGGGGCUCAACCCCGGGCCUGCAGUCGAUACGGGCAAACUAGAGUGUGGUAGGGGAGACUGGAAUUCCUGGUGCAGCGGUGAAAUGCGCAGAUAUCAGGAGGAACACCGGUGGCGAAGGCGGGUCUCUGGGCCAUAACUGACGCUGAGGAGCGAAAGCGUGGGGAGCGAACAGG